CUACGGGGGGCAGCAGUGGGGAAUAUUGGACAAUGGGGGGAACCCUGAUCCAGCCAUGCCGCGUGUGUGAAGAAGGCCUUUUGGUUGUAAAGCACUUUAAGCGAGGAGGAGGCUUACCUGGUUAAUACCUGGGAUAAGUGGACGUUACUCGCAGAAUAAGCACCGGCUAACUCUGUGCCAGCAGCCGCGGUAAUACAGUGGUGCAAGCGUUAAUCGGAUUUACUGGGCGUAAAGCGCGCGUAGGUGGCUAAUUAAGUCAAAUGUGAAAUCCCCGAGCUUAACUUGGGAAUUGCAUUCGAUACUGGUUGGCUAGAGUAUGGGAGAGGAUGGUAGAAUUCCAGGUGUAGCGGUGAAAUGCGUAGAGAUCUGGAGGAAUACCGAUGGCGAAGGCAGCCAUCUGGCCUAAUACUGACACUGAGGUGCGAAAGCAUGGGGAGCAAACAGGAUUAGAUACCCUAGUAGUC
This 464-nucleotide ribosomal RNA is filed under the name uncultured bacterium. RNAcentral's name for it is "partial 16S ribosomal RNA". It matches the Rfam family "Bacterial small subunit ribosomal RNA", at positions 339 to 795 of the family's 1533-position model. The record is from RNAcentral.